AGCUAAAUUCUCGAGGGUCAAAGUUACACAACUUGUUUUCUACCCAUGACUGCACGGAACUACUUUUACAACAACCAAGCUGUAGCCACAAACUUCUUGGUCAGACUUAUUUUGAGUUGGGGUGGAAAGUGUGCCGGGUGUUGUUCUUCAUAAAGGAUGAAUGGGAAGAAUGGACACAAUAGAGACGAGGCAGUACUUAGAGAGAAAAUUAUUUACUCUUCGCCUUACGUUUCCGGUUAACUUGUCUUGGCUGGUCCUUUUCCUUUAUUUCCUUUCUUUACUUCUGUAUGACAUCCUACACCGCUUUACAAUAUCAGCAUCAGUAUCUUUUAUGAAAUUUAUUGUUAAAAUUACAGUUGCAAACAUAAGUCUUUUGGCAGGAUCGUUCGCUAAUUAGUUGUUGUGUGUUUAUUAUACAUUUAAUACACAGACUACAUAUCCUUUAACUUUUUCCUUAAGUCUGUUUGUUAUGGAUUAAUAUAGAGUUCUAGCUAUUUUAUAUUUAGUUUCUAUAUAGGAACUGGCUGAAACCCCAAUGAAUGCUUGUUUCUGAUUCGUGGCGUCCGCUGUCUCCAUGGACACGCUGUAAACAUUCUAACGGAAAGCAGACGUUUGGCCAGUUGACUUUCACUCUCACCUUGUCCUACGCGAGAAUCUGUUCUUGGCUCUUCUCACAAGAACAGUUUGAAAUAAAAUCACCGCACAGGCCAUCAAUCUUCAGCUUUUUGUAACAGCGUGGAGCAGAGGACACAAGGAUGCAAGGAAAAGAAAGCAGUCCUCCAUCUGAUGCACCCCCUGCGUACAGCCAGCCCCUCCUCCACCGGUAGUACAACCGCAGUGGGGGUACCAGCAGCCUGUGAUGAUGCAGCCGCAGCAGUCGUCUGUCAGCAACACCACAGUCGUCGUCAACCAGGCAGCUGCACCUGCGCACAAACCGCUGCGCUCCUGGACCACCGGCCUGUGCGGGUGUUUCGAGGACUGUGGCGUGUGUUGCUGCGUAACAUUCUGUAGGCCGUGCGCCGAGAUGUCGCUUGCCAUGGACAUGGGAGAGAACUGCUGCAUUCCUUACUUAGUGCCAGGCUGGCUUGUCACCCUUAGGACCAAGAUUCGCACUCAGCACAAUAUACACGGAAGUGUGUUGGACGACUGCUGUCUCGUGUAUUUUUGCUACGAGUGCGCCCUUUGUCAGACGAUGAGGGAGGUCAAGCUCACCAGGGGCACCUGAAGCAGAAACCAGUCCUGCCGCUGGUCUUGUGAUGAUUCCACUGACUUCCAUGGCUUGACUCAUCGUGAAAUCGUCACCGUCGUCAUCGUCGUCAUCAUCAUCAUACCUUACAUCGUGUUUGCUAUUGUUUCACAUUUUUCUACAUUCAUUUUUAUUAUGUGGUGUGUGCCUGUAGUUUAAAAUGAAUAAAGUAACAUACGUAGGAUAUUUUUUUUCAGCAUAUCUUCCCUCUCAAGUUGUCAAGGCAGCUGCCCCCCACGUGCCCUGAACGGUGUAGGAAUAUAACAGCCUAAAGAUUAUCAUGAAUAAAGUAAAAGUCUAGAACAUUUUUUCUGCAACGCUCUUAACCCUUUCCCCAACAUCCUUGCCAGGUUUCUUACUUCAUUUAGUUGUAAAAUUUUAUUUUUUUUACUUUCGAAUGUUUAUUUAUUUGGUGGAUUGCAGUGAGCGUUAUCUGUACACAGUGUGCAAGACAUUACAUUUUGAACUUUUAUUGUAGUUUUAUGGAAUUCUUUCUGAUAAUUGUCAUUAAUUUAUAAAUGCUUUAAUUCUUUUUAUGAAUAAUAAAAUUAAUGUCAUGUCAAUAGAA
RNA transcript from Pomacea canaliculata, 1814 nucleotides. It is a transcript of the gene named placenta-specific gene 8 protein-like, with no coding region annotated. The record is from RefSeq and is a predicted model, not a curated record. NCBI's taxonomy places the organism in Eukaryota, Metazoa, Mollusca, Gastropoda, Architaenioglossa, Ampullariidae. The transcript has 4 exons.